GAUGAACGCUGGCGGCGUGCCUAAUACAUGCAAGUCGAGCGAACGGACGAGAAGCUUGCUUCUCUGAUGUUAGCGGCGGACGGGUGAGUAACACGUGGAUAACCUACCUAUCAGACUGGGAUAACUUCGGGAAACCGGCGCUAAUACCGGAUAAUAUUUUGAACCGCAUGGUUCAAAAGUGAAAGACGGUCUUGCUGUCACUUCUAGAUGGAUCCGCGCUGCAUUAGCUAGUUGGUAAGGUAACGGCUUACCAAGGCAACGAUGCAUAGCCGACCGGAGAGGGUGAUCGGCCACACUGGAACUGAGACACGGUCCAGACGCCUACGGGAGGCAGCAGUAGGGAAUCUUCCGCAAUGGGCGAAAGCCUGACGGAGCAACGCCGCGUGAGUGAUGAAGGUCUUCGGAUCGUAAAACUCUGUUAUUAGGGAAGAACAUAUGUGUAAGUAACUGUGCACAUCUUGACGGUACCUAAUCAGAAAGCCACGGCUAACUACGUG
Molecule: ribosomal RNA, 497 nt
Filed under: uncultured bacterium
Lineage: Bacteria
Description: partial 16S ribosomal RNA
Rfam family: Bacterial small subunit ribosomal RNA
Source: RNAcentral